This is a non-coding RNA of Myotis lucifugus (little brown bat), 63 nucleotides long. NCBI's taxonomy places the organism in Eukaryota, Metazoa, Chordata, Mammalia, Chiroptera, Vespertilionidae. The record is from Rfam.
GGCUUCCCUCUGUGGGGUGAUCGAUUAUGGGCCCCCAGAUCGAUCGCCCCACAGAGGGAGGCC